GAGACAAGCAUAUGACUACUGGCAGGAUCAACCAGGUAGCAUUCCUCAUCGACGCCGAUCUCCGCAUGAGCCGAGCCAAAACACUCUGCCAUGACGGGAACRGACGUCGUCCGCAUGAAGCGUUGAACGCUUUUUGAUUUCGGGGCAAAUAGAGGUCGGGGACCUCGUACCGCAUAGAUAUUCCGCAUCCGAGAGAACGAGCGCUGCGACGUGGGCCAACGAGUACGAGUGCUGAGUGCGCACGAAUCGUGGAUCACAUCGAGUGCUUCGGUGUCCACCCCGCACCGCAUCCCCAAAGGGCGCAGCACAAGGAGGAAAAGAGACAUCGGGACAACAUCAUUGCCUUCUCGAUAGGUAUACAACACAGGAAACCGACGUCGGCCAAGGCAAUCAGCAACUUGAGCCAACAAUUGAAGAGGCGUGCACGAGAUGCCGUCGCUGCCCGAGCAGGGAACCGACAUGCCCAUACUAGCCAAUCACCACUCACGCGCUC
This 493-nucleotide unclassified non-coding RNA is filed under the name Lippia arechavaletae. Its description in RNAcentral is "partial external transcribed spacer". The record is from RNAcentral. Lineage: Eukaryota; Viridiplantae; Streptophyta; Magnoliopsida; Lamiales; Verbenaceae.